CGUGAAGUUGGAAUCGCUAGUAAUCGCGGAUCAGCAUGCCGCGGUGAAUACGUUCCCGGGCCUUGUACACACCGCCCGUCACACCAUGAGAGUCGGGAACACCCGAAGUCCGUAGCCUAACUGCAAAGGGGGCGCGGCCGAAGGUGGGUUCGAUAAUUGGGGUGAAGUCGUAACAAGGUAAC
RNAcentral lists this ribosomal RNA (182 nucleotides) under uncultured bacterium. RNAcentral's name for it is "partial 16S ribosomal RNA". It matches the Rfam family "Bacterial small subunit ribosomal RNA", at positions 1319 to 1500 of the family's 1533-position model. The record is from RNAcentral.